AUCAGUCAACCUUAUCUCUUUUUCAUUCUCCUCCGCCACUUACUCUCUCCAUUUUCUCUGUGAACAUGUAACCCUAACCUAUUAUAUGUGUUUUGUGUCUAUCUUACAUCUUCUAAAAUUUCUGCAACAAAUCGAAACGCGAUCUGAUCGAAGAAGAAGAAAUUUUGUUUUUCUAUUUCUGUUUAUACUUACUCGGAACAACAACUAACUGAAUCUAUGAACUGAUUUCAGUUUCAAUUGUUUUUUGUUUGAUAGAUUAUGAGUUACUUUUGAUGAGAUAUUUCUAAUCUUGUUUUUCUAUGUGAUUUAUUAGGUUAUUUCGAAGGAGAACGAGUAGAGGAGAAACCCUAAAUUUAUCAGCAAGAAGAGAAGAAAUCCUAGCCUCUAUUUUGGAACCAAAGUGAGUUCUUCUUCGGUUUUCUUGGUGAAGUCAAUCUUUCAACUCAUGUUGUUGUGAAGGUUAUAUAUAAAUCUGAAGGAGGAGUAUAGAUUUUCUGAGUAGUAUUUUUUUUGGUGGUUUGCCGAAUCAUUAAGAUGAAGCUAUAGAAUGUUGGACUCAUAGAUCUCAAUAACUACGGCAAGAAGAAGUUUUAAGGAUCAACAAACUUUAAAAUGGAGGAAAACUAUGGAGCUAAGGUGGGGGGCAUGUGUGGACUGCAGAAUAUUGGGAGAACGAAAGACAAAGAAUGACGUAACUCGGAAGGAGUUAUCUUUGCUUCUAUUCCAACAACAUUAUUUUGGAUGGCUUAUAUUGCUUGUUCGUUGCUUACAUGGAGUUGAUGGGGUCAGUUAUCUCUCAUUACAAGGAAUCAGUAACACCUCCAAGGAAUCAACCUGUCUAAUUUUAGGCCAUUUGGAAGGCUUUGGCAGGACUACUUUUAAUUCUUUACCAAUCAGUGAAUGACGGAAGUUAAUGGUUGCAUGAGAUUGGAACAAUCUAUACUUUGGUCUAAAAUUGAUUCCGGUGUUUAGAAAUUUUGCGAACAUGUCAAUGGUUAAGUACUAUGAAAAACAGACAACUUUAACACCUUAUGCUCCGUUGAGCACACAGCUCCCAAAAGAGGGGUGAAGGCACCAGUGGCGGCAAAGAAGAAGACCGAUAAGGUUGUGAACCCUUUAUUUGAAAAGCGUCCAAAAUAGUUUGGUAUUGGUGGUGCAUUGCCUCCAAAAAGGAUUUGCAUAGGUUCGUGAAAUGGCCAAAAGUUUCCGCAUUCAACGCCAAAGGAGGAUUUUAAGCAAGUUCGAAGGUUCCACCUGCUUUGAACCAGUUCCCAAAGACCUUAGAUAAAAACCUUGGAAAACGACAAAGUUGGAGGACGAUUUAUAUAGUUCGGUUACAUAUUACUUGGAAUGCUUUUUGGACCUGCAACUGCUGGAAGAGGAGAAUCGUAUUUGUUGAACAAAAGAGAAGGUCAAUUCAUUGCCUGGCAUAUCGCCUAUUUUACUACCGAUCAUCUAAUUUACUGCUGGGAUCAGACGAUAGUGGAUGCUUGCCUUACAGAAGGUGCUCACUACCAGGACCUUGUUCAGGUGCAUAACUCAUAAGUGUUGCAGAUUUGAAAGACAAUCGGCACGCAAGACAAGGCAAAGACUGUUAUCUCAUGCGUGUUUGAUGCCAAUGCUGGAAUUACUUGAAAUGAUAAAUUUUCUAUGCUCGCGUUAAAUGCUCACAAAGUGUUGUCUCUGAAUUGUGCUUGGUUAAAUAAAACAAUUUUUUGGUUGCAAGUAUCAUAAUGAAUAGACCUUUGUGCUUGUAUUUCCACAAUGUAUGUAUGAGUGUUGAAAUGUGUGUCGCAGCCUGUGUUUCAGGAUAAAUUGUAUCGCAGGCCUGUAAACUGGAAGCCCAGGUCCGUUAUAAGUGGACUAUCCAUUUUUUU
Papaver somniferum (opium poppy) is the source of this 1877-nucleotide long non-coding RNA. RefSeq lists it as uncharacterized. Lineage: Eukaryota; Viridiplantae; Streptophyta; Magnoliopsida; Ranunculales; Papaveraceae. The record is from RefSeq and is a predicted model, not a curated record. The transcript has 12 exons.